UGGGGAAUUUUCCGCAAUGGGGGCAACCCUGACGGAGCAACGCCGCGUGAGGGAAGACGGUCUGUGGAUUGUAAACCUCUUUUGUUAGGGAAGAAGUUCUGACGGUACCUAACGAAUCAGCAUCGGCUAACUCCGUGCCAGCAGCCGCGGUAAGACGGAGGAUGCAAGCGUUAUCCGGAAUUAUUGGGCGUAAAGCGUCCGUAGGCGGUUAUUUAAGUCUGCUGUCAAAGACCACAGCUCAACUGUGGGCAGGCAGUGGAAACUGAAUAACUUGAGUACGGUAGGGGUAGAGGGAAUUCCCAGUGUAGCGGUGAAAUGCGUAGAUAUUGGGAAGAACACCAGUGGCGAAGGCGCUCUACUGGGCCGUAACUGACGCUGAGGGACGAAAGCUAGGGGAGCGAAAGGGAUUAGAUACCCCCGUAGUCC
RNAcentral lists this ribosomal RNA (426 nucleotides) under uncultured prokaryote. Its description in RNAcentral is "bacterial SSU rRNA". It matches the Rfam family "Bacterial small subunit ribosomal RNA", at positions 355 to 796 of the family's 1533-position model. The record is from RNAcentral.